UACGUAGGGUCCGAGCGUUAAUCGGAAUUACUGGGCGUAAAGCGUGCGCAGGCGGUUUUGUAAGGCAGAUGUGAAAUCCCCGGGCUUAACCUGGGAAUGGCAUUUGGGACUGCAAGGCUUGAGUGCGGCAGAGGGGGGUGGAAUUCCACGUGUAGCAGUGAAAUGCGUAGAGAUGUGGAGGAACACCGAUGGCGAAGGCAGCCCCCUGGGUCGACACUGACGCUCAUGCACGAAAGCGUGGGGAGCAAACAGG
RNAcentral lists this ribosomal RNA (253 nucleotides) under uncultured prokaryote. RNAcentral's name for it is "partial 16S ribosomal RNA". It matches the Rfam family "Bacterial small subunit ribosomal RNA", at positions 524 to 776 of the family's 1533-position model. The record is from RNAcentral.